RNAcentral lists this ribosomal RNA (414 nucleotides) under Triticum aestivum (bread wheat). RNAcentral describes it as "partial small subunit ribosomal RNA". The record is from RNAcentral. Lineage: Eukaryota; Viridiplantae; Streptophyta; Magnoliopsida; Poales; Poaceae.
AUGCGGAUCCACGGUGUCGCCAACGAGCAAGAACAUGGGUCUUCUUUUUGGUCGCGGGGCGCGUGCGUCCAGAACGUGCUGGAUUCCCUUGUGUCGGCGCUGCUCAAGGACGAGAAUCGCAAGUUAAUCUAUGUUGAGAAGAGAUGGUGGAGGCAGCAGAACGACAUUAUUAAGGGUACGGUGAAGGGGCUUGUCAGCCCCGGACGGUUGGAAUUCAUAAAUAGGGGCAUGUGCAUGCACGACGAGGCGACUGUGUGCUACAUUGACAUGAUCGAUCAAACUACACUGGGGCACAGGUUCAUCAAUGAGGAAUUUAGUCAGAUUCCGAGGAUUGGUUGGCAGAUUGAUCCAUUUGGGCACUCUACAGUUCAGGCUUACCCCCUCGGUGCAGAAACUGCAGGUGCAAGAUUCUGA